CUUUAUAUUAAAAAAAUAAAAUUGAUGCAGUAUAGCGCUGCAACCUAUCUAUAUAAGUUUAUCCCAAAUCAAGAAGUGAAUGAUUCUAUGUGCGUGUAACUGUGUUCAUCAUACCACAGUGUAACAAGUUCAUAAUCCCAACUCUAGCUCCAUCUUCAAUGGCCAAUGCAAUCUCUCCGCCCAAUUUAUUCCAGAAAGUUGUUCUUAAAUACCCUAUACACAGAGCCUUCGACAUUACCAUCUUCUUCCUUCUCGUAUCUCUCCUCGUUUAUCGUCUUCUCUAUCUCAGCAACCAUGGAUUUGCUUGGGUUCUCGCUCUCCUAUGUGAGUCAUGCUUUACCUUCAUCUGGGUUGUCACUGUCAGUUGCAAAUGGAAUCCAGUGGAAUACAAAACAUACCCAGAACGACUUUCACAAAAGGCACAAGAUCUUCCUCCUGUGGAUAUGUUUGUGACAAGUGCAGACCCGGUGCUAGAACCGUCAAUACUCACUGUAAACACAGUCAUAUCCUUAUUGGCAGUUGACUAUCCAGCAGAUAAACUAGCUUGCUAUGUAUCGGAUGAUGGUUGCUCCCCUAUAACCUAUUAUUCUCUUGUUGAAGCAUCCAAGUUUGCUAAGAUUUGGGUUCCAUUUUGCAAGAAGUAUAACAUUCAAACUAGAGCUCCUUUCAGAUACUUUUCCAGUGAGCUCAUUUUAACCGGCAGUUGUAAUUCCUUGGAAUUCCAGCAAGAAUACAACAAGAUGAAGGAUGAGUAUGAGGAGCUUGCCUCCAAAAUCAAAGAUGCAGUCGAAAAAUCCAUGGAGUGGGAUCAAAUCGGUGAUUUUGCCAUCUUCUCGAAUAUAGAGCGCAAAAACCACCCGACUAUAAUCAAGGUUAUAAGGGAGAAUGAGGCUGGACUUUCAGAUGCGUUGCCGCAUUUAAUUUACAUAUCAAGAGAGAAGAGGCCAAAGCAUCCAAAUCGCUAUAAAGCAGGUGCCAUGAACGUAUUGACCAGAGUCUCUGGAUUGAUAACAAAUGCUCCAUUCAUGUUGAACGUGGACUGCGAUAUGUUCGUCAACAAUCCACAGAUUUUUCUCCAUGCAAUGUGUCUUUUACUUGGUUCCAAGAAUGAAAGGGAAAGCGGGUUUGUUCAGUGUCCACAAUAUUUCUAUGAUGGACUAAAGGAUGAUCCAUUUGGGAACCAGUUCGUGGUUGGGCACAAAUUCAUGGGGAAUGGAGUAGCUGGGAUUCAAGGACCUUUUUAUGGAGGAACAGGAUGUUUUCACAGAAGAAAAGUCAUUUAUGGUUCAUGUCCCGAUGACAUAGGAAAUCAAGCAAAACGUCUCACUCCAGUUCAUGGUGGUUUAUCAUACAAGGAGCAGCUAAGAAUAUUUGGCGAUUCAAAGGAGUUUAUCAGAUCAGCUGCUCAUGCACUACAAGGGAAGGAAAAUAUCAGUCCUAAAAAUCUUCCAAACUUAGUUGAGGCAGCACACCAGGUUGCUGGUUGUGGCUACGAGUACGGUACUAGCUGGGGGACAGAGGUGGGUUGGCAAUAUGGAUCCGCAACAGAAGACGUCCUCACUGGAUUGAUGAUCCAUGCUAGGGGCUGGAGGUCCCUUCUUUGCACGCCGGAUCCUCGUGCCUUUUUGGGGUGUGCCCCUCGUGGCGGACCGAUCUCGAUGACCCAGCAAAAGAGGUGGGCAACAGGUUUUCUUGAAAUAUUGAUCAGCAGAAGAAGCCCCAUUAUUGCCACAGUUACUGCCAAACUCCAGUUUAGACAGUGUUUGGCGUAUCUCUCGUUGCUUACUUGGGGGUUACGCUCUAUUCCUGAGCUUUGCUCCGCGGUGUUGCCAGCUUAUUGUACCAUCACCGACUCGAGUUUCCUGCCCGAGGUGCAUGAGCCAGCCAUAUAUAUUUACAUGGCCCUUUUCCUGAGUUACGUCAUCUACACUCUAAUAGAGUACCUCGAAACUGGAUUGUCAAUCCGUGCAUGGUGGAAUAACCAAAGGAUGGCAAGAAUAAAUGCAAUGAAUGCAUGGUUAUUUGGAUUUAUAAGUGUAAUCUUGAAGGUUUUAAGAAUAUCAGAUACAGUUUUUGAAGUUACACAAAAAGACCAAUCUUCAAGUAAUGAUGGCGAUGAAGGCAGGUUCACCUUCGAUGCUUCGCUGCUUUUUGUGCCUGGGACAACCGUUCUGCUGCUGCAACUCACGGCAUUGAUCAUGGGAUUCCGAGGCAUGCAACUAUCAGUUAACGAUGGCUCAGGGCUGGGAGAGAGAUUGUGUAGCAUAAUGGUGGUCAUAUGCUUCUGGCCAUUUCUGAAAGGCCUGUUUGCAAAAGGAAAAUAUGGGAUUCCUCUGUCCACAAUAUUCAAGUCAGCUUUUUUGGCAUUAUGUUUUGUGCUCUUGGCCAAGCGUGCAUGAUCAAUGGGUCAAGCCUAAUGUUUACCCACAUGAUGCAUCGAUUUAUGGCGUGGAGGAAAUGUGGAACUUAUUAAAGUCGAUGGUGUGGAAGGAUUGCAAUAACAUGUUAAACUUUGUCGAGGACCUUUUUAUGGAGGAACAGGAUGUUUUUCACAGAAGAAAAGUCAUUUAUGGUUCAUGUCCCGAUCGAUGACAGGAAAUCAAGCAAAACGUUAACGUCUCACUCCAGUUCAUGGUGAUUUAUCAUACGAGGAGCAGCUAAGAAUAUUCGGCGAUUCAAAGGAGUUUAUCAGCUCAGCUGCCCAUGCAUGACAAGGAAAGGAAAAUAUUGGUCCUAAAAAUCUUCCAAACUUAGUUGAGGCAGCACACCAAGUUGCAGCUUGUGGCUACGAGGACGAUACAAGCUGGGGCACAGAGGUUAGUGGAGGUUAGUGGGAACAAAAAUUGAAGGGUUUAAUUGCUAAGUAUAUAAUACUAUGUAUUUUACUUGAUAAUGUUUUUUCAAAUAAAUAAAUAUGCUAGCUUUUUUAA
Molecule: RNA transcript, 2930 nt
Organism: Populus trichocarpa (black cottonwood)
Lineage: Eukaryota; Viridiplantae; Streptophyta; Magnoliopsida; Malpighiales; Salicaceae
Gene name: cellulose synthase-like protein H1
Exons: 11
Source: RefSeq, a predicted model, not a curated record